This 253-nucleotide ribosomal RNA is filed under the name uncultured bacterium. RNAcentral describes it as "partial 16S ribosomal RNA". It matches the Rfam family "Bacterial small subunit ribosomal RNA", at positions 524 to 776 of the family's 1533-position model. The record is from RNAcentral.
UACGGAGGGUGCAAGCGUUAUCCGGAUUCACUGGGUUUAAAGGGUGCGUAGGUGGGAAUGUAAGUCAGUGGUGAAAUCUCCGUGCUUAACACGGAAACUGCCAUUGAUACUAUGUUUCUUGAAUUUUCUGGAGGUUAGCGGAAUAUGUCAUGUAGCGGUGAAAUGCUUAGAUAUGACAUAGAACACCGAUUGCGAAGGCAGCUAACUACAGGGAUAUUGACACUGAGGCACGAAAGCGUGGGGAUCAAACAGG